UCUGUUCCUUUACUCUCUCUUCCCAAACUUCCAAGGCUAUGACUAUGAGAUUCAGCCCUAUGACUUGGCUCUUCUCUACUUUGUUGGGCUCUAUGCUUAUGGUCAUAUGGCUAUAUGGCUAGUUAGUAUCUUUGUACCAACUUUCAUUGCUAAGCAUAUAUAGCUGUGUCCCUGUCUUCGAAUAAAAUGAAGGUUGUUUUGUUUUUGUGUGACCUUGUAAUUUGCACUGUAGGGCAGUGCCAGCUUUCCGAAAUGCUUUGUAGUCUGUACAGAUUCCACGUUGGGUGUGUUGUCUGGCCCCCCCUCUGCUUUUCUAGUCUUGUGACACUUCACGAAUUGACAAUAUGAUACCAACAAAUGGCACAUAAGUUUUACCGAAGACAAGAGGAAGAAGAAGAAGAAGAAUAGUUGAGCAGUCAGAUGGAUGAUAAUUUUAUUUUUUACCAUUGCUAGCUAUUUAGCCAUUUCAAUUUUGUAUGAAAAUGGUGUAUGAUGUGUAUGGGGUCAAGACAUUUUUUAACUACAUGAAGGGGUGCAACUUUCGGAUUAAUUGUAAUAACUCUUAAAAUUAAGGGUAAAA
Quercus lobata is the source of this 580-nucleotide long non-coding RNA. RefSeq lists it as uncharacterized. Lineage: Eukaryota; Viridiplantae; Streptophyta; Magnoliopsida; Fagales; Fagaceae. The transcript has 2 exons. The record is from RefSeq and is a predicted model, not a curated record.